This 472-nucleotide ribosomal RNA is filed under the name uncultured bacterium. RNAcentral's name for it is "bacterial SSU rRNA". It matches the Rfam family "Bacterial small subunit ribosomal RNA", at positions 8 to 526 of the family's 1533-position model. The record is from RNAcentral.
AGAGUUUGAUCCUGGCUCAGAACGAACGCUGGCGGCAGGCCUAACACAUGCAAGUCGAGCGCUCCAGCAAUGGAGAGCGGCAGACGGGUGAGUAACGCGUGGGAACCUACCCAGUGGUGCGGAAUAGCCCAGGGAAACUUGGGGUAAUACCGCAUACGCCCGAAAGGGGAAAGAUUUAUCGCCAUUGGAUGGGCCCGCGUCGGAUUAGCUAGUUGGUAGGGUAAUGGCCUACCAAGGCAACGAUCCGUAGCUGGUCUGAGAGGAUGAUCAGCCACACUGGGACUGAGACACGGCCCAGACUCCUACGGGAGGCAGCAGUGGGGAAUAUUGGACAAUGGGCGAAAGCCUGAUCCAGCCAUGCCGCGUGAGUGACGAAGGUCUUCGGAUUGUAAAGCUCUUUUGGCGGGGACGAUAAUGACGGUACCCGCAGAAUAAGCCCCGGCUAACUUCGUGCCAGCCGCCGCGGUAAUAC